GCAUAUCAAUAAGCGGAGGAAAAGAAAAUAACAAUGAUUCCCCUAGUAACGGCGAGUGAACAGGGAAAAGCUCAAAGUUGGAACCUCCUAGCCUUAGGUUAGGCGGAUUGUAAACUAAAGUUCUUGAGUAGUUUGGCUGGCUCGGUAAAUAAGUUCUCUGGAAAGGGACGACAAAGAGGGUGAAAUCCCCGUUUUUGGCCGAAGCUUAGUCUUGCGUUUGCUUGGGAAUGAAGAGUCAGGUUGUUUGGUAUUGCAGCCUAAAGUUGGAGGUAAAUCUCUCCUAAAGCUAAAUAUUGACGAAAGACCGAUAGCGAACAAGUACCGUGAGGGAAAGAUGAAAAGCACCUUGAAAAGGGGGUCAAAAAGUACGUGAAAUUGCUGAAAGGGAACCGUAUGAAAUCAGCUUGGCCGUUUGGUAAUCAGCCUAGACUUUGGUUUGGGUGCACUUGCCAUUUGGUACAGCCUGCGACAAUUUGAUUUGGAGGAAAAAAUGAGAGAGAAUGUGGCCUUGUCUUCGGGGGAGGUGUUAUAGCUCUUUUAAAAAUACUCUGGAUUGGAUUGAGGAUCGCAGCGAGCCUUUAGGGAUGAACUGUGGGCGCUUGGUGGUUGUUAGGGAGAAAUUUCUAUUUAGGUAGUGUCUUCUUCACAACUAUCAACUCGCUUACUUUUUCUUUUUCUCGCUUAGGUCGCAGGCAUAAUGAUUUUAUAUGACC
This 713-nucleotide ribosomal RNA is filed under the name Absidia yunnanensis. Its description in RNAcentral is "Absidia sp. HZ-2022e partial large subunit ribosomal RNA". It matches the Rfam family "Eukaryotic large subunit ribosomal RNA", at positions 38 to 649 of the family's 3401-position model. The record is from RNAcentral. Lineage: Eukaryota; Fungi; Mucoromycota; Mucoromycetes; Mucorales; Cunninghamellaceae.